GCCGGGGUAGCCAAGUGGCAAAGGCGCGGGCCCACCGAGUCUGUGGAUGGAUAUCCUUUACAAUUAGGGGUUCGAUUCCCUUCCCCGGCA
Molecule: transfer RNA, 90 nt
Filed under: Caenorhabditis japonica
Lineage: Eukaryota; Metazoa; Nematoda; Chromadorea; Rhabditida; Rhabditidae
Description: tRNA CJA46879
Rfam family: tRNA
About the family: Transfer RNA (tRNA) molecules are approximately 80 nucleotides in length. Their secondary structure includes four short double-helical elements and three loops (D, anti-codon, and T loops). Further hydrogen bonds mediate the characteristic L-shaped molecular structure. tRNAs have two regions of fundamental functional importance: the anti-codon, which is responsible for specific mRNA codon recognition, and the 3' end, to which the tRNAs corresponding amino acid is attached (by aminoacyl-tRNA synthetases). tRNAs cope with the degeneracy of the genetic code in two manners: having more than one tRNA (with a specific anti-codon) for a particular amino acid; and 'wobble' base-pairing, i.e. permitting non-standard base-pairing at the 3rd anti-codon position.
Source: Rfam by way of RNAcentral